Molecule: unclassified non-coding RNA, 330 nt
Filed under: uncultured fungus
Lineage: Eukaryota; Fungi
Description: partial contains 5.8S ribosomal RNA, internal transcribed spacer 2, and large subunit ribosomal RNA
Source: RNAcentral
AACGCAUAUUGCGCUUCCUGGUAUUCCGGGGAGCAUGCUCGUUUCAGAAUCAUUUACCCAAACUCACACGCUGUUGGCUCAUCAAGAGUCAACAAACGUGUGGAUAUGAGCAUAGUGGUUUGCGCCGAUGACCUCGGCUCUCACGCAUCGUUUGCUUUAAAUCGAUCUCGCGCAAUGAAGCUCUCUCAGUGCAACAAUUUGUUUCCACAUUGCGAGUUGCUGAAUAUUGCGUGCGGUAUCCCUAAAUCCAUGUAUCACGGCGUCUGCGUGCCUGCAUGCAGCUCCGAUAAACUUGGUCUGAAAUCGAGCAAGAAAACCCGCUGAACUUAA